GACGAACGCUGGCGGCGUGCUUAACACAUGCAAGUCGAGCGGUAAGGCCUCUUCGGUGGUACACGAGCGGCGGACGGAUGAGUAGCUCGUAGGUGACCUGCCCUCAGCUCUCUGAUAAGCCUGUUAAACUGAGUCUAAUACCGGAUAUGACCUUUCCUCGCAUGCGGUUUGGUGGAAAGUUUUUUCGGCUGGGGAUGGGCGUGCUGCCUAUUAGCUUGGUGGUUGGGGGGUGGCCUACCAAGGUGACGACUGGUGGCCGGCCUGGGAGGGCGACCGGCCAGAGGGGGAGUGAGGCACGGGCCAGCCUCCGGAGGGAGGAAGGAGUGGGGAAUAAUACGGAAUGGGCGGCAGCCUCAGGCAGCGACGCCGCGUGGUGGCUGCCGGCCUUCUGGUUGCAACUCUCUCCCGACACGGACGAAGUUUGACGGUAGGGGUAGAAGAAGCACCGGCUAACUACGUG
This 460-nucleotide ribosomal RNA is filed under the name uncultured bacterium. RNAcentral describes it as "partial 16S ribosomal RNA". It matches the Rfam family "Bacterial small subunit ribosomal RNA", at positions 28 to 507 of the family's 1533-position model. The record is from RNAcentral.